AGUACAAUAAUAGAUCUCAUGGAACAAUUCUAAGUCAGGGGUCAUCAAACUCUUUUCAACAUCUUGGGAUGAAUGAAUCCGGAGGCCCCUGUGAAAGCACAGAUAAUGCAUGGUCGCAACAUAAAUAGCCUAGAGGAACCGUCAUA
Eucalyptus grandis is the source of this 146-nucleotide long non-coding RNA. RefSeq lists it as uncharacterized. The transcript has 2 exons. The record is from RefSeq and is a predicted model, not a curated record. Lineage: Eukaryota; Viridiplantae; Streptophyta; Magnoliopsida; Myrtales; Myrtaceae.